CCUACGGGAGGCAGCAGUGGGGAAUAUUGGGCAAUGGAGGCAACUCUGACCCAGCAACGCCGCGUGAAUGAUGAAGGUCUUCGGAUUGUAAAGUUCUUUUCUCAGGGCAGAAGAAAGUGACGGUACCUUAGGAAUAAGCAUCGGCUAACUACGUGCCAGCCGCCGCGGUAAUAAGUAGGAGGCAAGCGUUAUCCGGAAUGACUGGGCGCAAAGGGUGCGUAGGUGGUUUGACAAGUUAGUAGCGCAACUCCGGGGCUCAACUUCGGAACUACUACUAAAACGGUUGGACGUGAGUGCAGGAGGGGCAAUCGGAAUUCCUAGUGUAGCGGUGGAAUGCGUAGAUAUUAGGAGGAACACCAGUGGCGAAGGCGGAUUGCUAGACUGUAACUGACACUGAGGCACGAAAGCGUGGGGAGCAAACAGGAUUAGAUACCCUUGUAGUC
RNAcentral lists this ribosomal RNA (443 nucleotides) under uncultured bacterium. RNAcentral describes it as "partial 16S ribosomal RNA". It matches the Rfam family "Bacterial small subunit ribosomal RNA", at positions 338 to 795 of the family's 1533-position model. The record is from RNAcentral.